RNAcentral lists this transfer-messenger RNA (156 nucleotides) under Klebsiella pneumoniae. RNAcentral describes it as "partial transfer-messenger RNA". It matches the Rfam family "transfer-messenger RNA", at positions 210 to 374 of the family's 374-position model. From Rfam's summary of the family: Bacterial tmRNA, also known as 10Sa RNA or SsrA, is named for its dual tRNA and mRNA-like properties. Its role is to liberate the mRNA from a stalled ribosome. To accomplish this part of the tmRNA is used as a reading frame that ends in a translation stop signal. Lineage: Bacteria; Pseudomonadati; Pseudomonadota; Gammaproteobacteria; Enterobacterales; Enterobacteriaceae. The record is from RNAcentral.
UGCCCUGCCUGGGGUUGAAGCGUUAAAUCUAAUCAGGCUAGUUUGUUAGUGGCGUGUCUGUCCGCAGCUGGCAAGCGAAUGUAAAGACUGACUAAGCAUGUAGUGCCGAGGAUGUAGGAAUUUCGGACGCGGGUUCAACUCCCGCCAGCUCCACCA